GGGGCUCUAGCCGAGCCCGCGCCCUGCUACUCAAACCCAAACACGUCUGGAAAACCGAUCUUUUCUGCGCCUGGGAGGUUUUCGCAUCCUCAGUUCCCACCGCUGAGGCUGGUCGCCACCAAGUGUAGGAGAAAGUCCCCAGGAGGAGAGGCAGGGGGGCGCGGAGACGGGAAGGCGACAUGGAGGGGUAGGAAGUAAACGCUGGACUCGAUCAUCUGUCUGCUGCCAUUCAGAGCGGACCUGCCGCAGCGGGAGAGCUGUCAUUUCAGCACCGGGAUUUAGCCUUGAUCCAGUCUGCAGCUGAGGGGCCACAACUCAGCUCCCACUGCUCUUUGCCUCAGGCUGGAGGCUGGAACUAUAGUUGUUCAGUUUUUUUGUUUUGUUUUGUUUUGUUUUUUGUUUUUAAAAUCACAGCCAGACUGCAAUUAACAGCUUAUUUGUUCUGUCACGAAAGAGGCUUUGCCAGGACCACUGAGCAGGCUACCGAGGUCAGGCGUCCUGAGCUGCUCUCAGCAUGGCGUUGGGACAAUAGUGCGGGUUCUAAACUUUUGAUUCGUUCUGGCUUCUUAAUGCAUUUAUUCCUUGUCAAGUUUCCCCUCGUAGGAAGUUCGGACGUCUGAAGAUGCAUCAGAUAGACUUCACAUGCACAUGCAGGUCACUCGCCAGCUAGUUUGGUCUCUACUUGUGUACGCGGUUGGUGGUUUGCAAAACAAGUGUUUGAAUAGUGUGCUUAUGUGGUGGGAGGAGACAUAAUGGGUAAUGCAUUUGGGCAGAGUCCUCCUAAGGGUGAGUUGCCUGAGCAGCAGGUGAAGUUGAAUGAAGCAAUUUUCCAUCAUUUGCUCUACUCCCUCAUUUGCAUUUUUUGUUCCUCUUCUUGUUCCUCUCCCCUGGGGCAAUUGCAUAGCCAAGAACAGGAUUUUCAAAGGAAGGCUAUCAUGAAAACAGGAAGGUACUGAUGAUCUUUUAUGUACCAGAAUUGUUUGAAAUAUUAAAAUUGGCUCUUUGGCUCCUUGCA
Molecule: long non-coding RNA, 1015 nt
Organism: Mus musculus (house mouse)
Lineage: Eukaryota; Metazoa; Chordata; Mammalia; Rodentia; Muridae
Product: predicted gene 9884
Exons: 2
Source: RefSeq, marked validated